GUGCUUGCUUCAGCAGGACAUACACUAAAAUUGGAAUGAUACAGAGAUUAGCGUGGUCUCUGUGUGAAGAUGGCAUGCAAAUUUGUGGUGUUUCAUAUUUUAAU
Molecule: small nuclear RNA, 104 nt
Organism: Mus caroli (Ryukyu mouse)
Lineage: Eukaryota; Metazoa; Chordata; Mammalia; Rodentia; Muridae
Source: RefSeq, a predicted model, not a curated record